CAUGCAAGUCGAGCGGACAGAUGGGAGCUUGCUCCCUGAUGUUAGCGGCGGACGGGUGAGUAACACGUGGGUAACCUGCCUGUAAGACUGGGAUAACUCCGGGAAACCGGGGCUAAUACCGGAUGGUUGUUUGAACCGCAUGGUUCAAACAUAAAAGGUGGCUUCGGCUACCACUUACAGAUGGACCCGCGGCGCAUUAGCUAGUUGGUGAGGUAACGGCUCACCAAGGCAACGAUGCGUAGCCGACCUGAGAGGGUGAUCGGCCACACUGGGACUGAGACACGGCCCAGACUCCUACGGGAGGCAGCAGUAGGGAAUCUUCCGCAAUGGACGAAAGUCUGACGGAGCAACGCCGCGUGAGUGAUGAAGGUUUUCGGAUCGUAAAGCUCUGUUGUUAGGGAAGAACAAGUACCGUUCGAAUAGGGCGGUACCUUGACGGUACCUAACCAGAAAGCCACGGCUAACUACGUGCCAGCAGCCGCGGUAAUACGUAGGUGGCAAGCGUUGUCCGGAAUUAUUGGGCGUAAAGGGCUCGCAGGCGGUUUCUUAAGUCUGAUGUGAAAGCCCCCGGCUCAACCGGGGAGGGUCAUUGGAAACUGGGGAACUUGAGUGCAGAAGAGGAGAGUGGAAUUCCACGUGUAGCGGUGAAAUGCGUAGAGAUGUGGAGGAACACCAGUGGCGAAGGCGACUCUCUGGUCUGUAACUGACGCUGAGGAGCGAAAGCGUGAGGAGCGAACAGGAUUAGAUACCCUGGUAGUCCACGCCGUAAACGAUGAGUGCUAAGUGUUAGGGGGUUUCCGCCCCCUUAGUGCUGCAGCUAACGCAUUAAGCACUCCGCCUGGGGGAGUACGGUCGCAAGACUGAAACUCAAAGGAAAUUGACGGGGGGGCCCCGCACAAGCGGUGGGAGCAUGUGGUUUUAAUUCGAAGGCAAACGCGAAGAACCCUUACCAGGUUCUUUGACAUCCUCUGACAAAUCCUAGAGGAUUAGGACGUCCCCCUUUCGUGGGCCAGAGUUGAACAAGGUGGUGGCCAUGGUUGUCGUCAGCUCGUGUCGUGAGAUGUUGGGUUAAGUCCCGCAACGAGCGCAACCCUUGAUCUUAGUUGCCAGCAUUCAGUUGGGCACUCUAAGGUGACUGCCGGUGACAAACCGGAGGAAGGUGGGGAUGACGUCAAAUCAUCAUGCCCCUUAUGACCUGGGCUACACACGUGCUACAAUGGACAGAACAAAGGGCAGCGAAACCGCGAGGUUAAGCCAAUCCCACAAAUCUGUUCUCAGUUCGGAUCGCAGUCUGCAACUCGACUGCGUGAAGCUGGAAUCGCUAGUAAUCGCGGAUCAGCAUGCCGCGGUGAAUACGUUCCCGGGCCUUGUACACACCGCCCGUCACACCACGAGAGUUUGUAACACCCGAAGUCGGUGAGGUAACCUUUUAGGAGCCAGCCGCCGAAGGUGGGACAGAUGAUUGUGGUGAAGUCG
This 1476-nucleotide ribosomal RNA is filed under the name Bacillus subtilis. Its description in RNAcentral is "bacterial SSU rRNA". It matches the Rfam family "Bacterial small subunit ribosomal RNA". The record is from RNAcentral. Lineage: Bacteria; Bacillati; Bacillota; Bacilli; Caryophanales; Bacillaceae.